AAAUGCAUAACUCACAGAUGGACUUAUUUCAGAGAUUGUGAAUAUAUUGCCAGGACCUCCCUGUUACUUCCUCCUUCCCAUCAGACUGGCCUCUGACCCUGGUUGGAGCUCGCCGUGUCAUUAGCGUCUGUCUGCGCACAAGGCCUGCUACGCGAGCGCAGGUGCGCACUGAAGGCUAGGAGCGGAGAAGCGGUUAUCGAAUUGGAAAACCUGAUGCACCGUGGGCGGUGGGGAAAUCUACCUUGUUCUACACAACGUCUAUUGGUCGUUUCACACCUGUGCUGAAAUACCUCUAAAACCGGCAUCAUGUAUCUGUUACUGUGCCUGAUCUUUACUCCAUGCCAUCCUGGAUUAAAUAGGCUGAAUGAUCAAUGGGUGAGUGAAUUAUCUUCGCUUUAUGCCCUACAGUUUGCAAACACGCCGACGAGACCAUCAUGUCAAUAUCACCACGAACUUGGUCUCUCUCUGCAAUUACAUUUGUACCACUCUCAAACGCAACUGGACCUACACUUGAUGGCAUACUUCCAACAUCUCAAACUAUUGAAUUACUUUCUUUCUGUGUCGAAAGACUCGUUUUAUUCACAAUUGUCCUGGUCCAACCAAGUCCUCACGCAUUGGGCAACUGAGAUAUAUUGUUAUGCUUUUGUUGUUCAUCUCUGGUAAUGUGCGACCAAAUCCUGGGCCAGUAGAUACCACGUAAUCUCUACCGACUCCCUAUGAUUUUUAAAACAGAG
Molecule: long non-coding RNA, 734 nt
Filed under: Salmo salar (Atlantic salmon)
Lineage: Eukaryota; Metazoa; Chordata; Actinopteri; Salmoniformes; Salmonidae
Description: lncRNA (ENSSSAG00000082526.1)
Source: RNAcentral